RNAcentral lists this ribosomal RNA (440 nucleotides) under uncultured bacterium. RNAcentral describes it as "partial 16S ribosomal RNA". It matches the Rfam family "Bacterial small subunit ribosomal RNA", at positions 338 to 795 of the family's 1533-position model. The record is from RNAcentral.
CCUACGGGAGGCAGCAGUGGGGGAUAUUGCACAAUGGGGGAAACCCUGAUGCAGCGACGCCGCGUGUAGGAAGACGGUCCUCUGGAUUGUAAACUACUGUCCCCAGGGACGAAGAUGACGGUACCUGGGGAGGAAGCUCCGGCUAACUACGUGCCAGCAGCCGCGGUAAUACGUAGGGAGCGAGCGUUGUCCGGAAUUACUGGGUGUAAAGGGAUCGUAGGAGGGGAUGCAAGUGGGGUGUUAAAUCUACCGGCUCAACUGGUAGUCGCACUCAAAACUGCAGCUCUUGAGUGAAGUAGAGGCAGGCGGAAUUCCUAGGGUAGCGAGGAAAUGCGAAGAUAUUAGGAGGAACACCAGUGGCGAAGGCGGCCUGCUGGGCUUUUACUGACGCUGAGGCUCGAAAGUGUGGGGAGCAAACAGGAUUAGAUACCCGUGUAGUC